UGGAUUUGUCAAGGCUACAAUACAAAUGAAUGGAGUUGGGCUGUUUGGAGGACUGGAGGACUGGAGUUGGGCUGUUGGGGGGACUGGAGGACUGGAGUUGGGCUGUUGGGAGGACUGGAGGACUGGAGUUGGGCUGACUGGAGGACUGGAGUUGGGCUGUUUGGAGGACUGGAGGACUGGAGGAAUGGAGUUGGGCUGUUAGGAGGACUGGAGGACUGGAGGACUGGAGUUGGACUGUUUGGAGGACUGGAGUUGGGCUGUUGGGAGGACUGGAGGACUGGAGUUGGGCUGUUUGGAGGACUGGAGGACUGGAGUUGGACUGUUGGGAGGACUGGAGUUGGGCUGUUGGAGGUACUGGAGGACUGGAGUUGGGGUGUUGGGGACUGGAGGACUGGAGUUGGGCUGUUGGGAGGACUGGAGUUGGGCUGUUUGGAGGACUGGAGGACUGGAGGAAUGGAGUUGGG
Long non-coding RNA from Oncorhynchus tshawytscha (Chinook salmon), 464 nucleotides. The record is from Ensembl. Lineage: Eukaryota; Metazoa; Chordata; Actinopteri; Salmoniformes; Salmonidae.